CUGUUGGUUGCCGGGGAAGGAGAUCAGGGAGUCGUAGUGUUGUAGUGAGAGGAUCUAACGUCCUUACGUAGUAUGUAGUAUAGGAGGAAAAUACCCUCCAGUAGUAAGUAGAAGUAGUAGUGGUGGUAGAGGAGGUGUGUGGCAGCUCCUUUGUUCCCCCAUAGUGCGUGGGAGGUGAGCCACGUGAGUUGAGGCCUAGUAAGGGUGGCGGGGCAGUCUUCCCCCACUCCUGUGUCGAGUUAGUUCUGACCUGAGAAUGAUGGAGGCAACUAUCAGUAUGAAAGUUCUGAGAUUGAACGGCUCCACUUUGUAAAAUUUGAGACCAAAUAUAUUGAACACUGGCUGGACUUCAUUCGCAACCACCUAAUGUGCAGUAAAGAAUCCAUGCUUGGAAAAACCAUUAAAGCUACAGGUGGAGGUGCUUACAAGUUUGCUGAAUUGCUUCAACAAAAGCUUGGACUCAUGGUUUAAAGUCUGGCGUUCGGCGUGGUGUGGCAGUAUCUCAUGUGAAUGCUCCCCAAAGCAGCAGAGGUGAUAUUCGUAAAAUUACCAGCAUACUUCAACUGACCUACGUUCACAGGUAAACGCCCUGGUGGAUAUUGGAACAAGUCUGCCGGUAAGGGCUUCUAUGCCAGUUUCCUCCCCUAUGGGCAACAGAGGUUUGGCCCCAGGGCUGCUCCACGACAGCCUUCUGCUCAACAUGAUGCGGACCCAAAAAACGCCAAGGGCCGGGGCAGCCACAGCAGGCAGCCCCAGUAAUAUUACAGGCAAGUACAUGUUUUGAAGGUGGCAGCUUGCACUGUUUCUUGCAUGACUAGCAUAAAAUUACCAGUGACCCUGUUAUACUGGAUAUUGUUGAACAUUGUCACCUUGAUAUUGAUGUUGAUGGUAUUCAUCCUUUAUUUUUGAGUGAUUUGGAAUACAGGUUCAACACUAUGCAACAAGAGAUAAUUUCUGGUGAAAUGAAAAAUCUUUUUCAGCUUAAAGUCAUCAAAGUUACACACAAGCAAACUCAGCAGGUCAUCUCACCCAUUUUCUUGAGAGAAAAGAAAAACGGGAAAUUUCGCCUGGUCCUUAAUUUAGAGAGAUUAAACAAAUACAUACCCUAUAAGAAUUUUAAAAUGAAAAAUCUUGAACAGGCCAUUAGGCUUAUCAAUAAGGAUGAUUUUCUGGCAUCUGUUGAUCUCAGGCAUGCUUAUUUUUCUGUUAAGGUCGCAGAUGAGCAACAAAGAUAUUUUACAUGGCAGGGUGUUAUCUAUCAAUUUACCUGCCUCCCCAAUGGCAUUUCUGAGGGUCCUCGGCUUUUCACAAAACUGAUGAAGCCAGUAUUUGCCACUCUAAGGAAGGAAGGAUACACUAUCACCAGUUUUAUUGAUGACACAUUGAUUUGCAGUAAUUCUUAUUCAGGUUGCCUUAAAGCAAUUCAUGCUACCAUUUCAUUGUUGCAGAGGUUGGGAUUCUGUGUCAAUGUAGAGAAGUCUGUUCUCACCCCCCACACAAUGUAUUGGAUACCUAGGAAAUGUCAUUAACACCAAGUUCAUGACU
This 1545-nucleotide unclassified non-coding RNA is filed under the name Portunus trituberculatus (swimming crab). RNAcentral's name for it is "uncharacterized LOC123517178, transcript variant X2". The record is from RNAcentral. Lineage: Eukaryota; Metazoa; Arthropoda; Malacostraca; Decapoda; Portunidae.